Molecule: ribosomal RNA, 449 nt
Filed under: uncultured Actinomycetes bacterium
Lineage: Bacteria; Bacillati; Actinomycetota; Actinomycetes
Description: bacterial SSU rRNA
Rfam family: Bacterial small subunit ribosomal RNA
Source: RNAcentral
ACACAUGCAAGUCGAGCGGAAAGGCCCUUUCGGGGGUACUCGAGCGGCGAACGGGUGAGUAACACGUGAGUAAUCUGCCCUGCGCUCUGGGAUAGCCACCGGAAACGGUGAUUAAUACCGGAUAGGACCACUUCACGCAUGUGAUGGUGGUGGAAAGUUUUUUCGGCGCAGGAUGUGCUCGCGGCCUAUCAGCUUGUUGGUGAGGUAACGGCUCACCAAGGCUUUGACGGGUAACCGGCCUGAGAGGGUGACCGGUCACACUGGGACUGAGACACGGCCCAGACUCCUACGGGAGGCAGCAGUGGGGAAUAUUGGACAAUGGGCGGAAGCCUGAUCCAGCAACGCCGCGUGAGGGAUGACGGCCUUCGGGUUGUAAACCUCUUUCAGUACCGACGAAGCGAAAGUGACGGUAGGUACAGAAGAAGGACCGGCCAACUACGUGCCAGCAG